Molecule: ribosomal RNA, 740 nt
Filed under: uncultured bacterium
Lineage: Bacteria
Description: bacterial SSU rRNA
Rfam family: Bacterial small subunit ribosomal RNA
Source: RNAcentral
AGAGUUUGAUCAUGGCUCAGAACGAACGCUGGCGGCAGGCUUAACACAUGCAAGUCGAACGCCCCGCAAGGGGAGUGGCAGACGGGUGAGUAACGCGUGGGAAUCUACCCAGUUCUACGGAAUAACACAGGGAAACUUGUGCUAAUACCGUAUACGCCCUACGGGGGAAAGAUUUAUCGGGAUUGGAUGAGCCCGCGUUGGAUUAGCUAGUUGGUGGGGUAAUGGCCUACCAAGGCGACGAUCCAUAGCUGGUCUGAGAGGAUGAUCAGCCACACUGGGACUGAGACACGGCCCAGACUCCUACGGGAGGCAGCAGUGGGGAAUAUUGGACAAUGGGCGCAAGCCUGAUCCAGCCAUGCCGCGUGAGUGAUGAAGGCCUUAGGGUUGUAAAGCUCUUUCAGUGGGGAAGAUAAUGACGGUACCCACAGAAGAAGCCCCGGCUAACUUCGUGCCAGCAGCCGCGGUAAUACGAAGGGGGCUAGCGUUGUUCGGAUUUACUGGGCGUAAAGCGCACGUAGGCGGAUCGUUAAGUCGGGGGUGAAAUCCUGGAGCUCAACUCCAGAACUGCCUUCGAUACUGGCGAUCUUGAGUCCGGAAGAGGUGAGUGGAACUCCUAGUGUAGAGGUGGAAUUCGUAGAUAUUAGGAAGAACACCAGUGGCGAAGGCGGCUCACUGGUCCGGUACUGACGCUGAGGUGCGAAAGCGUGGGGAGCAAACAGGAUUAGAUACCCUAGUAGUCC